Molecule: long non-coding RNA, 289 nt
Organism: Urocitellus parryii (Arctic ground squirrel)
Lineage: Eukaryota; Metazoa; Chordata; Mammalia; Rodentia; Sciuridae
Source: RefSeq, a predicted model, not a curated record
CUCUGAAGCUUCAGUCUCCAGUUCUUGUUUUCUAUCAGAAGACAGAAGAGAAUCUCAAGAACAAGGAAUCCUCGUGAAAGCCCAAGCGUGGUCAGCAAAGAGGUGAGCUAUUACCAACUGCAGCAGUCCAGACCUGCACAAGGCUGAGGGCAGUGGAGAGGCAAGAAGGGAACAGAUGACUCAUACUCCGGAGUUGACUGCUGGGACCUAAAGAGUAAGAGGGACGGAGCGCGUCAGUCGGCAUGCCUGUGUCAGUUAUCUAUUGCUACACACAAAUCACCAAGUAUUC